GUGCCAGCCGCCGCGGUACUACCGGCAGCCCGAGUGAUGGCCGAUCUUAUUGGGCCUAAAGCGUCCGUAGCUGGCUGCGCAAGUCCGUCGGGAAAUCCACUCGCCCAACGAGUGGGCGUCCGACGGAAACUGCACAGCUUGGGACCGGAAGGCUCGAAGGGUACGUCCGGGGUAGGAGUGAAAUCCCAUAAUCCUGGACGGACCGCCGAUGGCGAAAGCACUUCGGGAAGACGGAUCCGACGGUGAGGCACGAAAGCCAGGGUCUCGAACCGGAUUAGAAACCCGAGUAGUCC
RNAcentral lists this ribosomal RNA (293 nucleotides) under uncultured bacterium. RNAcentral describes it as "partial 16S ribosomal RNA". It matches the Rfam family "Archaeal small subunit ribosomal RNA", at positions 455 to 747 of the family's 1478-position model. The record is from RNAcentral.